This 1157-nucleotide long non-coding RNA is filed under the name Salmo salar (Atlantic salmon). RNAcentral's name for it is "lncRNA (ENSSSAG00000086549.1)". The record is from RNAcentral. Lineage: Eukaryota; Metazoa; Chordata; Actinopteri; Salmoniformes; Salmonidae.
CUCCGUCUGGACCAUGACUCAACACAACAUGGCCGCUGGUUAAAGUGUAACGAGGAUAGCAGUCUGUUGUUAUUGCCCCCCGGUACUGUCUGAAUUCUUCAAAUUCAUACAUCAAUGUUCCUUAAAAGCAAAACUAUCCAAACAGGUUUUUUCCAUCAGCUUUUUUUGAUUACCUGUGUCACCGCUGCUUCCUGGUCCGUCCGUAGUCGUGGUGACCAGCUGGUCUGGAAUUACCGUGACCGUGAUCAGAGUAUCGAUCAGGACUGGAGUCCAGAUGCGCCACGAGACAAACCGUCCUCUAAAAGGGAACUCUGUAGUCCUGCUAGCUAGCUCACCGUCCAGGCAGGCUGGCUAGCCAGUUCUAAUCCUGCUAGCUAGCUCACCGUCCAGGCAGGCUGGCUAGCUAGCUCUAAUCAUGUAGUCCUGCUAGCUAGCUCACCGUCCAGGCAGGCUGGCUAGCCAGUUCUAAUCCUGCUAGCUAGCUCACCGUCCAGGCAGGCUGGCUAGCCAGUUCUAAUCCUGCUAGCUAGCUCACCGUCCAGGCAGGCUGGCUAGCCAGUUCUAAUCAUGUUGUCCUGCUAGCUAGCUCACCGUCCAGGCAGGCUGGCUAGCCAGUUCUAAUCCUGCUAGCUAGCUCACCGUCCAGGCAGGCUGGCUAGCCAGUUCUAAUCCUGCUAGCUAGCUCACCGUCCAGGCAGGCUAGCUAGCCAGUUCUAAUCAUGUUGUCCUGCCGUCCAGGUAGGUUGUUUUGUUGUCCUAGGCUACCUGGCUAAAAUGCUUGCUUGCUGGCCUGACUUCCAUUCAUGGGCAACGACGAGCCAGCUAGUUCACAUUAGCCUUCUACAUCUAGCUACAUAUUGAACUUCCAUCCUCUCAGGUCAGGGGCACAACAAUGUAUGAAUUCAUGGUUUGGAUCAGAAUCGCUGUUAUAAUCAUUGGCCAGUACGGAGAAUUAAGUAAAACCACAAGUCCAAAUCCUUAUCUCCAUCCCAGGCUAAUUUAGGAAAGGGACAAUUUUAGCUAGCUGGCUAGCUAGCCUCCGGAGGACAACGACACAACAAGAUGUUGGCCCUGUGGUGUUUUAGUGUGUGUGUGUGUGUGUGUGUGUGUGUGUGUGUGUGUGUGUGUGUGUGUGUGUGUGUGUGUGUGUGUGUGUG